This 319-nucleotide unclassified non-coding RNA is filed under the name uncultured Hypocreales. RNAcentral describes it as "sequence contains ITS1". The stretch from base 1 to 105 matches the Rfam family "5.8S ribosomal RNA", at positions 50 to 154 of the family's 154-position model. Lineage: Eukaryota; Fungi; Ascomycota; Sordariomycetes; Hypocreales. The record is from RNAcentral.
GAAAUGCGAUAAGUAAUGUGAAUUGCAGAAUUCAGUGAAUCAUCGAAUCUUUGAACGCACAUUGCGCCCGCCAGCAUCCUGGCGGGCAUGCCUGUCCGAGCGUCAUUUCAACCCUCAGGGCCCGUCCGCGGGACCUGGCGUUGGGGAUCGGCCCCGCCCUCACGGGCAGGCCGGCCCCGAAAUACAGUGGCGGUCUCGUCGCGACCUCCCCUGCGUAGUAGCAAUGCCUCGCAGCCGGAUAGCGGCGCGGCCACGCCGUAAAACCCCCUACUUUCUCAAGGUUGACCUCGGAUCAGGUAGGAAUACCCGCUGAACUUAA